CCCUUAGAUGUUCUGGGCCGCACGCGCGCUACACUGAGUGGAUCAGCGGGUCAGGUUGCGCGAAAGCGUUUCCUAAUCUUUAAAUCCGCUCGUGAUGGGGAUUGACGGUUGCAAUUUUCUGUCAUGAACGAGGAAUACCUUGUAAGCGCGGGUCAUCAUCCCGCGCUGAAUACGUCCCUGCCCUUUGUACACACCGCCCGUUGCUCCUACCGAUUGAGUGGUCCGGUGAGGCUUUGGGAUCUGAGCGGAAAGAGCGUUUCGCUGUUUCUGCUCGGAAAACUCAGUCGAACCUUAUCAUUUAGAGGAAGGAGAAGUCGUAACA
This 322-nucleotide ribosomal RNA is filed under the name uncultured eukaryote. Its description in RNAcentral is "partial 18S ribosomal RNA". It matches the Rfam family "Eukaryotic small subunit ribosomal RNA", at positions 1470 to 1796 of the family's 1831-position model. The record is from RNAcentral.